UACGUAGGGGGCUAGCGUUAUCCGGAAUUACUGGGCGUAAAGGGUGCGUAGGUGGUUUCUUAAGUCAGAGGUGAAAGGCUACGGCUCAACCGUAGUAAGCCUUUGAAACUGGGAAACUUGAGUGCAGGAGAGGAGAGUGGAAUUCCUAGUGUAGCGGUGAAAUGCGUAGAUAUCUGAAGGAACAUCAGUGGCGAAAGCGACUUCCUGGACCAAUACGUGACGCUCAUGUGCGAAAGCGUGGGGAGCAAACAGG
RNAcentral lists this ribosomal RNA (253 nucleotides) under uncultured bacterium. RNAcentral's name for it is "partial 16S ribosomal RNA". It matches the Rfam family "Bacterial small subunit ribosomal RNA", at positions 524 to 776 of the family's 1533-position model. The record is from RNAcentral.